CAGCAGCCGCGGGAAUACGGAGGGUGCAAGCGUUAAUCGGAAUUACUGGGCGUAAAGCGCACGCAGGCGGUCUGACAAGUCAGAUGUGAAAUCCCCGGGCUUAACCUGGGAACUGCAUUUGAAACUGUCAGGCUGGAGUCUUGUAGAGGGGGGUGGAAUUCCAGGUGUAGCGGUGAAAUGCGUAGAGAUCUGGAGGAAUACCGGUGGCGAAGGCGGCCCCCUGGACAAAGACUGACGCUCAGGUGCGAAAGCGUGGGGAGCAAACAGGAUUAGAUACCCCGGUAGUCCCUGUCUCUUAUAC
Molecule: ribosomal RNA, 301 nt
Filed under: uncultured bacterium
Lineage: Bacteria
Description: partial 16S ribosomal RNA
Rfam family: Bacterial small subunit ribosomal RNA
Source: RNAcentral